UACGUAGGGGGCAAGCGUUAUCCGGAUUUACUGGGUGUAAAGGGAGCGUAGACGGCAGGGCAAGUCUGGAGUGAAAGGCAGGGGCCCAACCCCUGGACUGCUCUGGAAACUGUCCGGCUGGAGUGCAGGAGAGGUAAGUGGAAUUCCUAGUGUAGCGGUGAAAUGCGUAGAUAUUAGGAGGAACACCAGUGGCGAAGGCGGCCUACUGGACGGUGACUGACGCUGAGGCUCGAAAGCGUGGGGAGCAAACAGG
RNAcentral lists this ribosomal RNA (253 nucleotides) under uncultured bacterium. RNAcentral's name for it is "partial 16S ribosomal RNA". It matches the Rfam family "Bacterial small subunit ribosomal RNA", at positions 524 to 776 of the family's 1533-position model. The record is from RNAcentral.